Molecule: long non-coding RNA, 895 nt
Organism: Salvia miltiorrhiza (redroot sage)
Lineage: Eukaryota; Viridiplantae; Streptophyta; Magnoliopsida; Lamiales; Lamiaceae
Exons: 4
Source: RefSeq, a predicted model, not a curated record
UUAUGUAUUAACAUUAUUUUUUUUCAUAAAUAUAUAUUUUUAUUAGGUAAAAUUCAAAACCUAACUCAAAAUCUAAUUUUCAAGCUUCUGCUCCAAUACUCCUAACACACCCGCCGCCUCCCCCCGGUGACGCCGCGCCGGACGACGCUGCACGAGCAACCGGACGCCGGUGCCAGUGAGUCAGUGACCGCCCCUGCCCCCACCCACCCUGCAUCGCGUCGCCUCUGACGCCGCUCUUCUCGCAGCAGCAGAUCGAGCGGCGGAGCACCCUUCUCCUCUCCACCGAGCACGAGCAGACCACCCAUCUCCUCCGCCGACGCCGCUCUUCUCGCAGCAGCAGCAGCAGAUCGGGCUUUUUGCUUCUCCGUCUGCCACCUACCGCACCCGUCUCUCUCUCUCCGUCCGUUAGGCCUAGCAGCUGUCGCCGGUCGAGCUCUCAAUCGCAGACCCUAGGAGCCGCCGCUGUCGCCGCCGCCUUCUACAAUAGCCACCACCAAGGAACUCGCCACAAAGCUAAGAUCAAUCGUGUUACUAAAGCGGCAGCUUGAUGAAGUACCAGCACAGGCUGAACUAAUACAGUACGAACUCCGACUUUCUGAACUUAACACUCAAAUUCAGAAAAAGCUCCGACAAACACGGAAGCACUAUGAUACAUAUAAUGCUUUGUUGGAGAUUAAAGAUUUGAUGCUCAAAGAAACAUCCUUGUUGAAUUCAAUUAAUGUGCAGGUAAAGCUUGUAGAAUUAGUCCAUCUUUUGUUCUUCCUCAGCAUAUCAUUUUGUGCUUUGGUCUUAAUAAUUUGCUUGAUUUAGUUUCAUUGUGAUUGGUAUCUGGUUGUCUUGUUGAAUCUGUUAUCACUUCUAGUAACUUUGUGACCUCCUCUUAUAUACCAUUCCA